Long non-coding RNA from Oreochromis aureus, 2043 nucleotides. RefSeq lists it as uncharacterized. The record is from RefSeq and is a predicted model, not a curated record. The transcript is spliced from 4 exons. NCBI's taxonomy places the organism in Eukaryota, Metazoa, Chordata, Actinopteri, Cichliformes, Cichlidae.
GUGAACGUAUGAGCAGAGUGAUUAUCCCAUAUUAUCCCACUUCGGUUAUAGAGGAUCAAGGCUGAGAUUAUGCAUGUGUGGAGGAGGGAUAGUGGAUAUACUGGAAAAAGAAUGUUGGACCUGAGGGGGCAGCAAUACGCCUUUUGUUGAGUCUGCCGGAAAUCCAAGAAGAAGACGCAGCAGCAGUCGAAGAAGAAGAAGAACCGUAAACAAACUAAACUGAGGCGGCGUUUGUGUAUAGUUUUUAGGUUUUAACAGAAGAUGGAGGCACUCAGCAGACGGGCUCUGGACCGGAUUUACUCCGCGGUAUUGCUGGCAGUCGUGGUUUUGUCCUGGUCUUACGUGAUCUACGCCAGCAGGAUCGCCUCCGUUUGGCUGCUGGAACAGAGGACCCGUCGUUGAGGCAAGACUGACCGUGCGUCGGAGUGCAGGCGUACAGGCUGAUGGACCCCUUUAAGCCCUCGUUCCAAAGGUUCAGACCUGAACAUAUGGCGACUGCUCAGGUAGGAGAGGAUUGAAGCGGCUGAAAGCACCAGAGGUUUCCAGGAGGUCAGAUCUGAAAGGAGACGACAGAAACAACCAAAAACUGGUUUAAAAACUGGAAAAGACGGCGUAAUGAGAGACAUAAUGAAGACGAGAUCCGAACGUGAGUGGGUCCUAUGGGGACUGCAUUUAGCCCACAACACAGUAAAACACCACAACACCCACUCUGAUACUUUAUGUUGUAAUUACUGCUGAGUAAUUUAGAGUAAUUGAACUAUCGAAAGCUGGAUUAAUGACUUCUUGGGCAGUCAAACCACAUUUCUCUCUUUAAUUGAGACUGCAUUUUUAUACGUUGUCCCACAUCUGUCUCACAUUUUGACUUCUUCUGCACUUUUCUAAAGUGUGGCUUUUACCCAGUGCAUAUCAAGGGAAGGCUUUUUUAUAUGUGUCAAAUAAAGAUUAGCCUGUUUAAUGUUGUGAAUGUUACAAAUUACCAGAAAGUCAUAAGAGUUUCACAUUUUAGUGAUUAUGAUUGGAAGCACCACAAAUGAAAUGGAGUGUCAGUAUACACUGAUAAAUAAUGUUUUUGUUGUAGUUGUUUUGAUUUUGCGCGGGAGCAAGUCUGGUGUGAAGUUACACGGUAUGCUGUGUCACAUCUGACUAAAAAUAGCUAAACUAUAUGUCAAUAAAAAGUAUACCAAUCUAUGGAUACAUCACUACUGACACCCACAGACAGUUACAGUUGGAACAGCAGGAGUAUGUAAAGACUAUCACAUGAGUUUUCUUUAAAUCUUAUUAUAUUUACUUAAAAAGAGUUGGGAAAAUUGCAUUCACAUAUAUUGGACUACCUCCCAGCAUUUUUAACACUUUGUCCCGCACUUACACAUAUAGUUUGUUGGGAUCUGGUCAGCCAAUCAGGAAUCUGUAUUUUUUGUCUUAUAAUCACAAUAAAAAUGCUCCAACAACAUAAACGGGGUCCAAUUAGCUCAGGUGAAGCUUAGCCGCCUGUGUCACCAUCCACCUGUCAGUCAAAGAGGCCACGCCCCAAUAAUGCAAACUUUAAACCUUAAUAUAAUUUAAACAGAUGACUUAUAAAAAAUUCACACUCCCUUAGAGUUAUUAAGAAGAGGGGAAUUAGCUAUAGGGUUCAAAACCUUUAUUGUAGCAGGGUGUAAAUAUGUUUGUUUGUCUUGUAAAGUCAGAUGUUUUAACACAGUCACUCUAGUGGACAUUAGAGGAACUGCAGGCUUCACAUUCACAAAGUUAUUUAUUCAGUACAUAUAAUUCUAUAACUAGACACUGCGGCUGAAUCACCAAAAAGUUUUCUGCAGUUUUUUUUAAAUGUUUGUUUGUUUUUUAAAAUUCAAUUUAAACUCCCAAGUGUGAACUUCCCUAAGGUCUAAGUGUGUCUUUAACAUUGGGAAACCUGAUGGUCUCAUUUUUUUUUGUUUGUAGUUUAAUAUUACCUGAUCUACCUCUAAAUUAAUGUAAAAGCAAUAAAAAACAAGUAUCUGGUCAUUUUUCUGUACAUUUCAACAUUAAAGAUUAGUUUCUUCAGCU